UCCCCAGAGUCCUAACAAUGA
RNAcentral lists this microRNA (21 nucleotides) under Mus musculus (house mouse). RNAcentral describes it as "mmu-miR-6356". The record is from miRBase by way of RNAcentral. Lineage: Eukaryota; Metazoa; Chordata; Mammalia; Rodentia; Muridae.